UCGGAAUAGACAGCAAUGAAUAAUUGUGUCCUUUUCUCUCUUUGAACCAGAUUCAUCCAAACAAUCUCCCUUCUUCUCUGUUAGGGCUACCAUGUAUGCGUUGUUACUUCUCAGUAAAAAAAGGUACAUUUUUUUAUGCGAUUAGACAUCUACAGUUUAUGCCAUUGCAAUUUCUGUUCAGAUUACAGUGAUUGUCAAUAUUCCUUCACAGAAUUCUACUAUAAAGCUCAGCCAAAUUAUUGACGAGACUGUCCGUUCAGGAAUUCAACUUAGCCCGAAUUUAGUUGUCUCCAAGUUUAUAACGAGAGGAAGGAGGUUCAAAAUACUGGAUACUAAGCAAGCAGAUAGUCGCCAAUCUCAACCAUAAUCGACGAUAUUCCAUCUCUACAACAUCGCGCUAUUAAAUACUUAGCGAGGAGUCAUCCCUCCAACUCUCACAAAUUGGACAGACGCCAACAUGUAUGCCCUGUUAUUCCUCAACCAAACCGUAAAAACGAGAAUCACAGGUUCAAAUCCGUACUUUUAACCUCAGUUUUGAAUAGGUCCUAUCUGUGCCUAGCAGCGGGCUUCUCUCAAUUGCGAGAAACAUUAUAUCACGAUUUGUUUUUUGGUAUUUCGUUGCAAUGUUGGGACCUAAGACUGAAGAAACCAGUUGAUGAGAUACAAUUUUGUUAGCGAGAAAUAUCCUCCAAGAUACAAUAGUUCAUGUUUAGUUGAUGUCAAAUUAUGUGUGUCAUUAUUAUUUUCCCUUUAUACAACAGAUUUUGAUAGUAUGGCAGGAAAUUGAAUUGGUGGAUUGAUUCUGUACCUGGUGAAGGUGAGCUUAUAACAGAUAUGACUAGAGGUAUGCAACUGAUACGUGAGUUCUUUGAUCUCUUGGUUAUAUCAGAAAAAGCCACAAAGAUCAGAAUCGUGCAAUCUAUCAAACUUGCAUCAAACCUUUCAGUUUCCCAGGA
Capsicum annuum is the source of this 956-nucleotide long non-coding RNA. RefSeq lists it as uncharacterized. The transcript is spliced from 3 exons. Lineage: Eukaryota; Viridiplantae; Streptophyta; Magnoliopsida; Solanales; Solanaceae. The record is from RefSeq and is a predicted model, not a curated record.